This is a long non-coding RNA of Nothoprocta perdicaria, 147 nucleotides long. RefSeq lists it as uncharacterized. NCBI's taxonomy places the organism in Eukaryota, Metazoa, Chordata, Aves, Tinamiformes, Tinamidae. The transcript has 2 exons. The record is from RefSeq and is a predicted model, not a curated record.
UGUGAUCUGCAGAUCAAGUCUGAACAGCCAAUAAUUCAGUGGUUUGCUCCGCUUUCGUCCCAUUCCCAGUCGGUCAGCCAGUUACGAACACAUAUGGAAUCAUCUCUGCAGGCUUCAUACCUUCAUGGAGGUAUUGUGGAAGCAGAA